Molecule: long non-coding RNA, 2160 nt
Organism: Monomorium pharaonis (pharaoh ant)
Lineage: Eukaryota; Metazoa; Arthropoda; Insecta; Hymenoptera; Formicidae
Exons: 3
Source: RefSeq, a predicted model, not a curated record
AAAUAAUUAUUAUUUGUGACGUCAUAACUCGAAUGCACGUUCCUUAAUUAUUUUUUAUUUUCACAAGUGAGAUUCAAUGGAGUUUUUAUUUUAUAAUCUGAGCAAUUUCAAGACCAAAUACUUUACUAGAUCUUGCAUACUCACUUUAAAAGUUAUGCAUUACAAUAAUUUUGUUAUUAAAAUAAGCGUUAUCACUUGCAUGUUUUUUUAAUCACUGAGUAGUGACGUCACUAUCUAAGUAUAAAUAAUAUUCACAUUACUGAGUGAUUCAGUCUUACUUUAACAUAUAAAAUGGAAAGCAGCUAUUAUAGCCUUAUAAGUUCAUACGUGUUUAUAAAGCAUUUGGAUAAUAAAAAAUUUAAUAUAAUUGUAUUAUUUAAAUAUUUAUAAAUUUCUAUUAGUCGAUAACGUCAUCGCUCUUUAAUUACCAUCGGGGCCCCCUUUGUAGUGACAAAAAUUCGCCAGGUGUGUCGUCAGUGGUACUACGUACGCUCACGCAAUGUCACGUGACAUACAAAAAAUACGCGCCAAAUUGCUAUUUGAACGAGAACUAUUCUGUCUUCUACACUCUAAUACUCGCGCCUCCAUAAAAAUCUCUGUAGAAAAUCGCUGAAGAAACAUCGACAAAUGUCGCGUUCUGCCAAUAAGUGCACAGAAAGCAUCCGAUUCUCAUUACGAGUCCCAGUCAUUCGAUUAAUAAGUUAUCUGAACGUCGAAAAGAUCGGAACUUUACGCGCGCUUAUCCGGACGCCAUGACAGUUUCAGCGGUGCAGCGGUUUGGAUCGGAGUGGACUCGCUCCGCAAUUAAUUGCGGAUUUUAUCGGUUAAAAUCACACGAGUCCGAAUGGGCGUGUCGAUUGAGGUGACGGGCGAUCUCCGGAGUCUAUCGGUUGUUGCUGGUCUUGGUGAUCUCUGCCGUUUCGUCCGUAACCAGGAUUGGUGGUUAUGAUGCAUCGAGUCCGGUGAGCGCAGAUUUCGAUGCCACAGCCAAACUGUUGUCUCGGGGGAGUCGAAGCGAUUGGUAUUUUCCAUUAGACACAGCAAUAUCGCGAAUUCCAAUUCUCGUGACGAUAUCACGGCUCGCUUACUUCCGGACAACACAAGACGCUUCGUGGACGACCGUACAGCCGUAGAAUGUUCAUGAAGAUACAUUAUUUAAAGUGGACGGACGAUGGGACAGGUUAGUUAACCUCGAAAUUGUACCCAUGAGAGACGGAAGAGAGGAGAUGCAUGAAAAAUAGCUGCAUGCAGAUUGGAGAUUGGCACUCAACCCUCCCCUCACCGCCCAAAAAGAAGCAUCUACAAAGAUGCUUUCGUAUGUUUUACUGUCGUGAGCGGUUUAUGAUGCGUCGAAGGAUGUAUGAGGCCUCGGAGGCAUCAAACGAUGGUGGAACGACUAGAGGGUAAAUAAAUUAUUAUUUAUAUAUGCAACAAUUAUCUUUUGAAAUAUUAAUUAUUUUAAACGAUGCUAUAAUUUGGAUAUGCUUGUAUGUUACAGUCCGACAUAGAGUUCACCGUAGUUCAACUCCGCUGCUGCGCAUCGUAUCGGUGAGUGAUAAAUUACAGUUUAUUAGAUAUUAUUUGAGGUAAAUCUAUAAAAGAUAUACAAAAUAUAUGCCGUACAUAUAUAUUACAAAUUGAGAAUAUAAAAAUAUUAUAACUGAGAGAUCUGUUUUAAAAUUAUACACUGAGAAACUCAUAUGGUUGAAUCAACUAAACUCUUGUUUGGGUAUGGGCAAACAAAUACAUUGGUUGACGCAACAAAAGAAUGUAGUUGAAAUAUUUUGUAAUACUACACUGACAAAUUCAUAUGGUUGAAUUAACUAAAUUUUUAUUUGGAUAUGGAUUUUGUUGCGUCAAUCAAUCUAUUUGUUUGUUCACAUUCAAACAAGAGUUUAACAAAACGGGUUUAAUUAAACAGGUUUCUCAGUGUAGAACAAAUAUUCAUUAUGCUUACGAAAAUUUUAUAUAAUUUUAUAUGUAUAUACUAAUGUAUAUACUAAGAACACAAGAUCAAGUUUAAAUCAAUACAUUAAUUAAAAUACCUGGCGUAUUUCUGUGUCAUUAAUUGCAUUUUAUUAUAUGACAAAACAUUCUACUUAAAUGUAUUACGUAUAUUUAAAAUUUACACACAUAAAGUCUCGUAAAUAAAAUAUAAAC